Molecule: unclassified non-coding RNA, 1328 nt
Filed under: Zea mays
Lineage: Eukaryota; Viridiplantae; Streptophyta; Magnoliopsida; Poales; Poaceae
Description: misc RNA Zm00001eb008110
Source: RNAcentral
CACAACCUCCCAGCCGUCGCUAGUCGCUCGCUCCAUCACCGAUAACCAAGAUCCCAAGACCUCCUCCAGCCUCCUCUGCUCUCGCGCCGGCACCCGCACGCAUGGCUGCCUGUGUCGACAAGUGGCACCCCACGCACGCCGGCCGCCUCACCGGCGCCAUCUACCGCUACUUGCCGGACGGCGCCACGGACCGCGCGGUGGCCGCCGCCGCCGCCGCGCCGGCGUCCGCGAGCGGCGGCGACGACGACGACGUCUGGGACGAGCUGCGCGCGGAGGCGCAGGCCGACGCGGACGCCGAGCCUCUGCUCCGCAAGUACUACGCCGACCUCGUCCUGUCGCGCCCGUCGCUGGAGGCCGCCCUCGCCGCGCACCUGUCGGCCAAGCUCUGCGUCCCCGGCGCGCUGCCGCAGGACGCGCUCCGGGACCUCCUGGCCGCCGCACUGGCCGCGCGCCCGGAGUCCGGCCGCGCCGCGCGCGCCGACCUCCGCGCGGCGCGCGACCGCGACGCGGCCUGCGGCCGGAUGGUGCACUGCUUCCUCUACUACAAGGGCUUCCUCGCCCUGCAGGCGCACCGCGCCGCGCACGGGCUGUGGUGCGAGGGCCGCUCCGCGCCGGCCUUCCUCCUCCAGAGCCGCGCGUCCGAGGUGUUCGGCGUCGACAUCCACCCCGGCGCGCGCAUUGGCUCGGGGAUCCUGUUCGACCACGCCACGGGCAUCGUCAUCGGCGAGACGGCCGUCGUUGGGAACGACGUCUCCAUCCUGCACGGCGUCACCCUCGGCGGCACGGGAAAGGAGUCCGGCGACCGGCACCCGAAGGUCGGGGACGGGGUGCUGAUCGGCGCCGGCGCCAGCGUGCUCGGCAAUGUGCGCGUUGGAGCCGGGGCGAAGAUUGGAGCAGGGGCGGUCGUGCUACGGGACGUGCCGGAGGGGACCACGGCCGUCGGGAACCCCGCCAAGGCGGUCGGGAAGAAGGCGGCGCCGCAGCGGCGGCCGGAAGAGCAGCCUGGGGUCACCAUGGAGCAAGGGUGGUCGGACUACGUGAUUUGAUAACUUCCAGAGGGUCUGUUUGCAAAUAUUUAGUGCAGGAGAGUUUCCCUCCCAGAAGAUAUUUAGUCAAGUCGUUAUUGAGAGAUAGGUGCAUUGCCGUUGCUGCAUUGCAUAAAGAGGGAGCUCAAUUAGGCAUUGAGCCCUAGAGCAACUCCAUAUUUUUCUUUGUUUUGCGUGAGGGGAAUAACAAUACUAUAUGCAUCUGAUAAGUUAUCGGUUGCUUGUACAUAUACUUUCAAGCUAUAAAUUAUUGUGUCCGCAUGUUUCGUUUCUUCUCCUAAG